This 1447-nucleotide long non-coding RNA is filed under the name Parus major (Great Tit). Its description in RNAcentral is "lncRNA (ENSPMJG00000004173.1)". The record is from RNAcentral. Lineage: Eukaryota; Metazoa; Chordata; Aves; Passeriformes; Paridae.
AUGAAGUUCCCAAAAUGCAGAGCCCUGUGGCCCUUAACUCAAGCAGCGUGCGCUGUUUGCCAUCCCCAGACCGGGGCUUCACUCCCAGUGCUCCCAGUCCCCUCCCAGAGCAUCCCGGCGCCCCUGGGAGCGCUCCAGGAGCCGGGAGCGGCCGCUGGCUGUGCCCAUUUCCCACCCCCAGCCCAAGGAGCCGACCCCCGGCCGGGGCAUUUUCACUUUCAGUUUCCCCGGGAUUUACGGGAAAUCAGUGCAGAAGCGAGAAAGGAGGUGCUGGGGGGCGGGAGGAGCCCGUGGGGGUGGAUCGGGAGCGGCAGGGUGAGAUAUAACCGGGAUACAGCGGGGAGGGGGGGGAGAGUGACCCCCACCGCGGAGCUGCUUCUUCCCUGCCUUGCCCCAGUGGCUAGAAGAAAUGAUCCGGUCGAGGUCGUUCACAGGAAGCUUAACUAAGACCAUAAGUAAGUGUGGACUUAUGUAUCCCAUUCUCUUGGCUGUGGGCAUCCUCGGGAGCCCUUGGGAUGCGAUGUGUUAUUCCCGAGAGAAGAGAGGCCAGUGGAGGUCUCUCCCCUGAGCAUGUUAUCUGCAGAACCCCUUCCAGAGCACAGCAGAAAGCCUGGCCUUUGGGGUGGGAUCACUUUGAUCAGAGGGGUGACCUUAUUUGACAAGAGGCACACCCUGCUCUAGCAGGGGGUAUUGCUGAGCAAGGCUUUGAGGGUCAGGCUGAGAUGAAUGUGCGAAGGGACAGAACAGGGACCUGGGAGGUCCCUCUCCACUCCCGUGGUGUGAGGCUGAAGAGCCUCACCCUCUUGUGGUGGCUGUGCUCUGGUGGGACCUGUGUGGUGCCUAGGUUCUGUGGCAGCUGAGGCAGCUUCCUGGCCCAGGAGAGCCUCAGUGGGCCCCGAGGGUCAGAAACCCCCCAGCACUGCUGUGGGGCUCCUGGUUCACAGAAACUCAUGGCUCCUGGGCCAGCGGCAGGAUAUGUUCUGCCCCUAAACCUGCUCAGUGCAAUCCUGGAGUUUCUUAGGGAAAGGCCCUGGUUAAAGAUCCUCUUUUUCUUCUUGAUUUUAUUUUCACAUGUACCUGAUGUCCAGUAACAACGGUCGUUGGCUAUGGGGUUGAGAAACUCAUAGAAAUUAUGUUCGAAGAAUCAAGUAAGUGUGCUGAAUGCCAUUCCUCUUGUCUGUGGUCAUCCUUGGGAACUCUUGGGAUGUGAUGUGUUAUCCCUGAGAGAAGUGAGGCCAGUGGAUGUCUCUUCCCUGAGCACACUGCCUGCAGAACCCCUUAAAGAGCAGAAGGCCUGGCCUUUGGGGUGGGAUCAGUUUGGUCAGAGAGGUGAUCUUCUUUGACCAGAGACACAUGCUACUCAAGCAGGAGGUAUUGCUGAGCAAUUGGUAAUGAUUUCAAAGGCAUAGCACAUCCCUUCUGGGAUUUCCUUUCCUCUCUCUGAACA